Molecule: transfer RNA, 72 nt
Filed under: Trialeurodes vaporariorum (greenhouse whitefly)
Lineage: Eukaryota; Metazoa; Arthropoda; Insecta; Hemiptera; Aleyrodidae
Description: tRNA-Thr for anticodon AGU
Source: RNAcentral
GGCAGAGUAGCCUAAUGGUAAAAUGCUGGAUCAGUAGUCGGGAGGUCGUGGGUUCGAACCCCACCACUGGCA